RNAcentral lists this ribosomal RNA (197 nucleotides) under uncultured bacterium. RNAcentral's name for it is "partial 16S ribosomal RNA". It matches the Rfam family "Bacterial small subunit ribosomal RNA", at positions 328 to 539 of the family's 1533-position model. The record is from RNAcentral.
ACGCUCGACACCUACGGGAGCAGCAGUGGGGAAUAUUGCACAAUGGAGGAAACUCUGAUGCAGCGAUGCCGCGUGAGGGAAGAAGGUUUUCGGAUUGUAAACCUCUGUCUUUGGGGACGAUAAUGACGGUACCCAAGGAGGAAGCUCCGGCUAACUACGUACCAGCAGCCGCGGUAAUCUGAGCGGGCUGGCAAGGC